GGGUAAGUCCUAUACGACCAGCUCCCCAUGAAUCCCGCCAGGACCGGAAGGUAGCAACGGUAGUGGGUUGUAGCAGGUGCGAUGUGGGGAGCUUACCCUUU
Molecule: signal recognition particle RNA, 101 nt
Filed under: Bacteroides sp.
Lineage: Bacteria; Pseudomonadati; Bacteroidota; Bacteroidia; Bacteroidales; Bacteroidaceae
Also listed under: 2 other names
Description: signal recognition particle sRNA small type
Rfam family: Bacteroidales small SRP
About the family: The non-coding component of the signal recognition particle in Bacteroides
Source: RNAcentral